Molecule: long non-coding RNA, 525 nt
Organism: Piliocolobus tephrosceles (Ugandan red Colobus)
Lineage: Eukaryota; Metazoa; Chordata; Mammalia; Primates; Cercopithecidae
Exons: 2
Source: RefSeq, a predicted model, not a curated record
CAGACCACUACCUUCCACACAGCACCCUGGAGCCUCUCUGUGACGGGGCUUCCUGGCUGGCCUGUCUGAGCAGGAAAGGGCUGAGCCCUGCGUAGGCAGGCAUGCUGACGGGAUGCAUGUGGUGGGGGACAUCUGCUGCAUUUGGCUGUGUGACAUCUCCCCCUGGCCAUCUGAAUAGGUCUCCGCAGAGGCCGUGAAAAAUGUGCUACUCAGUUUUUCUGCUAACUGUUGAAGGCCUAGCUGCCGCCACUCUGGAUCUAUGCCCCAUUUGCAAUGAAGCCACACAUCUUGUGAGCCACUCCCAGCCCAUGACUAGGCACAGCAGGGGCCCUAACGCAGGAUAGCUCUGAGGAGGUGUGGGACUCUGACAGUGGAGGACAUGGGCCUGAGAACUCUUCAUCAACCUGAUCAAACCUCUCUUGGAACUGCAAAGCAGUCUGAGACUCUUCUCCCAAUCUAUUAUCUCCCUAUUAACUAUCUAUAUUGUAGCUCAUUGGAAAAGAGUCAUUAAUUUUGAUUAUCAAA